GACGAACGCUGGCGGCGUGCCUAAUACAUGCAAGUCGAGCGGAAGUUGGAGAGCUUGCUCUUCAACUUUAGCGGCGGACGGGUGAGUAACACGUGGGCAACCUGCCCUGCAGAUCGGGAUAACUCCGGGAAACCGGUGCUAAUACCGAAUAGUUUUCGCCACCUCCUGGUGGCGUACGGAAAGACGGUUUCGGCUGUCACUGCAGGAUGGGCCCGCGGCGCAUUAGCUAGUUGGUGGGGUAACGGCCCACCAAGGCAACGAUGCGUAGCCGACCUGAGAGGGUGAUCGGCCACACUGGGGAUGAGACACGGCCCAGACUCCUACGGGAGGCAGCAGUAGGGAAUCUUCCGCAAUGGACGAAAGUCGGACGGAGCAACGCCACGUGAGUGACGAAGGUUUUCGGAUCGUAAAACUCUGUUGUGAGGGAAGAACAGGUACCAACUAACUACUGGUACCUUGACGGUACCUCACCAGAAAGCCACGGCUAACUACGUGCCAGCCGCCGCAGUAA
This 511-nucleotide ribosomal RNA is filed under the name uncultured bacterium. RNAcentral describes it as "partial 16S ribosomal RNA". It matches the Rfam family "Bacterial small subunit ribosomal RNA", at positions 28 to 523 of the family's 1533-position model. The record is from RNAcentral.